RNAcentral lists this ribosomal RNA (393 nucleotides) under uncultured bacterium. Its description in RNAcentral is "bacterial SSU rRNA". It matches the Rfam family "Bacterial small subunit ribosomal RNA", at positions 971 to 1425 of the family's 1533-position model. The record is from RNAcentral.
UUACCGCUUUGACAUGCGAGAGAUUCCUUCGGGCACAGGUGCUGCAUGGCUGUCGUCAGCUCGUGUCGUGAGAUGUUGGGUUAAGUCCCGCAACGAGCGCAACCCCGCCUUAGUUACCAUCAUGUGGGACUCUAAGGAACCGCCGGUGAUAACCGGAGGAAGGUGGGGAUGACGUCAAGUCCUCAUGGCCCUUACGGNGGGCUACACACGUGCUACAAUGGACUACGGGGGCACCUCGAGGGAGCAAUCCCCAAAGUGUCUCAGUUCGGAUUGUUCUCUGCAACUCGAGAGCAUGAAGGCGGAAUCGCUAGUAAUCGCGAUCAGCAUGCGCGGUGAAUACGUUCCCAGGCCUUGUACACACCGCCCGUCACACCAUGGGAGUUGGUUACCGAA